This 2251-nucleotide ribosomal RNA is filed under the name human oral metagenome. Its description in RNAcentral is "bacterial LSU rRNA". It matches the Rfam family "Bacterial large subunit ribosomal RNA", at positions 310 to 2318 of the family's 2925-position model. The record is from RNAcentral.
AGGUAAAAAAUCGGCGUGGUUAGCAGAACGAGUUGGAAAGCUCAGCCGGAGACUGUGAUAGCCAGGUAUGCGAAAACGACGCUGACCUUAUUCUGUAUUCUCGAGUAGGUCGGGGCACGAGAAACCCUGAUUGAAUCCGGCUGGACCACCAGCCAAGGCUAAAUAUAGUAUAUGAUCGAUAGUGAACUAGUACGGUGACGGAAAGGUGAAAAGAACCCCGGGAGGGGAGUGAAAUAGAACCUGAAAUUUUGUGCCUACAAGGAGUCGGAGCCCAGCACCUUUGAAAUCGAGUGGUACAAUGUAGGCGGAUGUUCUACGUGUACGUUUUGCAAAGCGAUCGGGAAUCAGAUCAAAUUUACUUCGGUCAGACUAGUGACUUAAGACGACGUCUCUCGGAGCAUAAUUCUGGCAAGGAUACUUAUACCAAGAUAUAUGCGCCAUGGAAGGUUGUCUAUUAUGAAGCCUAUUCAUCACGUAAGCUAGCAAUGGCCCGUGAGAGGCAGCUGAAAGCUUAUGGACAAGCCAGGACUGCUCUAAAGAAGAGACUAAAUUUGAUCUGAUACUCGAUUUCAAAGGUGCUGGGUGACGGCGUGCUUUUUGUAGAACGAUCCAGCGAGUUAAUUUUUACGGCGAGGUUAAGUCAGAUGACGAAGCCACAGUGAAAGCGAGCAUUAACAGUGCGAUUUAGUCGUAAGGAUUAGACCCGAAACCAGGUGACCUAACCAUGAGCAGGUUGAAGCAACCUUAAUCGGUUGUGGAGGACCGAACCAGUGUAUAUUGCAAAAUGCUUGGAUGACUUGUGGUUAGCGGUGAAAUGCCAAUCGAACUUGGAGAUAGCUGGUUCUCCGCGAAAUAGUUAUAGGACUAGCGUCGUGUGAUAGCUUACGGGGGUAGAGCUCUGUCAAGAGAUAGGGGGAGCAAUCCUACCUACUCUUAAUAAACUACGAAUACCGUAUGUCUGUAUCACGGCAGUUAGAACGUCGGUGCUAAGAUCGGCGCUCAAAAGGGAAACAGCCCAGACCAUCAUCUAAGGUCCCCAAAUUUACGCUAAGUGGGAAACAAGGUGGAAUUUCUUAAACAGCUAGGAUGUUGGCUUAGAAGCAGCCAUUCAUUUAAAGAGUGCGUAACAGCUCACUAGUCAAGAGAUUCUGCGUGGAAGAUAUAACGGGGCUAAGCGUAAUACCGAAGAUAUGGAUUGCAAUUUAUUGCAGUGGUAGCGGAGCGUUCCUAUCGGCAGUGAAGCCAGACUGUUAAGUACUGGUGGAGCGUUAGGAAGUGAGAAUGCUGGAACGAGUAACCAUAAGACAGGUGAGAAUCCUGUCGGCCGAAAGAGCGAGGUUUCCUGGGCUAUGGUAAUCAUCCCAGGGUUAGUCGGGCCUAAGCCGAGGCGUUUAGCGUAGGCGAUGGACAUCAGGUUAAUAUUCCUGAACUAGUCAAACUUUGUAUGCAGUUAGCGAUGAGAUAGGUGGAGCGGAUUCAUGGUUUAUCCGUUCAAGUGAUAGAGGAAUCUUGAUCGAGUAAAAGUGAACCUACGGGUUUACGAUUCCGCUGAAGGCAUUGACCAGAAAAGCUGGCAUACGCAUGGGUUUGGCUACCCGUACCGCAAACCGACACAGGUGCUCGAGUCGAGGAGACUAAGGCUUACGAGAGAAUGAUUGCUAAGGAACUCGGCAAUACAGCGACCGUAACUUCGGAAUAAGGUCUGCCUACAUUUGUAGGCCGCAGCUAAAGAGCCCACGGAACUGUUUAUCAAAAACUCAGGUCUCUGCUAACACGAAAGUGGAUGUAUAGGGGCUGAAACCUGCCCGGUGCCGGAAGGUUAAGGGGAUUGCUUCACGGUGAGAACUGAAGCCCCGGUGAACGGCGGCGGUAACUAUAACCGUCCUAAGGUAGCGAAAUUCCUUGUCAGGUAAGUUCUGACCCGCACGAAUGGUUAAAUCAUGUGGGCACUGUCUCAGCAAUUAUCUCGGUGAAAAUGCAUUGGCGGUAAAGAUGCCGUCUGUCCGCACCAGGACGAAAAGACCCCGUGGAGCUUCACUACAGCUUUACAUUGUUGUGGGUUCUAACUUGUGUAGUAUAGGUGGGAGACUUUGAAGCAGAUACGCUAGUAUCUGUGGAGUCAUCAGUGAAAUACCACCCCCGUUAGGAUCUGCAUCUAACCUGUGCCGUUAUCCGGUAUAGGGACCGUGUAUGGUUGGUAGUUUAACUGGGGCGGUUGCCUCCUAAAGAGUAGCGGAGGCGUUCAAAGGUU